UGACAGCUGCAGCAAGAC
Molecule: unclassified non-coding RNA, 18 nt
Filed under: Mus musculus (house mouse)
Lineage: Eukaryota; Metazoa; Chordata; Mammalia; Rodentia; Muridae
Description: oocyte_clustered_small_RNA4301
Source: RNAcentral